UUUAUUGGAGAGUUUGAUCCUGGCUCAGGACGAACGCUGGCGGCGUGCUUAACACAUGCAAGUCGAACGGGGCGAAGUGAUAGCUUGCUAUUAUGGAGCCUAGUGGCAAACGGGUGAGUAA
The sequence is a ribosomal RNA, 121 nucleotides long. It matches the Rfam family "Bacterial small subunit ribosomal RNA", at positions 1 to 113 of the family's 1533-position model.